CUUUUCAUUGUCAAAUGGUUACCAUUUUUUCUAACGCUCGUAAAUAACUUACAGCUAUUUUUGUGGUUAACUUUUAGCAACAUCAUCAUUAUUAUUGAUAUUCUUUCAGCCAUAAUGAAGCAGCAAACAUGUUUAUCGUGUGUUUGGUAGCUCUAACAACGUGCUUUCUCAAGAGAUAUUGCUCUCGUCUUGACUUCAAGAUUGUUUCAUCUUUAUCUUGUGUUGGAUAUAUCUCCCAACUGCUGCUAGUGCUUUCUCAUCGAGUUCUUGCUCUCUUGAUUUCAAGAUUGGUUAAUGCUGAAUCCAAAACUUCACGUUGCUUUCUUGAAUCACAUGUAUACAACUCAUGUGAACAACCUAACAUAUGCUGCUGUCAACAGUCAGUGAUUUAUCGCUGUAAGAAUUUUCUCUACUGCAUGAAGCUUUAGCGCUGAUUAAAUAGACGCUCGGCAAUCAGCAAUGAGAAGAAAACAGAGAACCAUUGUCAGUGAGAGACAACUGCGCAACAGAAUCAGGGAAGAUGCCGCUCACCUUGAAGCGGAAGGAGCACUAAUUCACGGCUCAAUAACACCACCUCUUCAACCGACACCGUUAGUCGAGAGUGAAGAAGAAGAACUUGGCGCAUCAUUUCACGAUUCACCGCCACCUUCUCACGAUUUUGUUGACUCAUCUCUUCAAGAAACAGUCGAUCUUCACCUUCUCACAGACUGCGAUUCCCAAUAUGAUAGUAGUCAAGAUUCAUACGACUCCUACGAAUAUGGAAGUGAUCCCGAAGGUGAACCUGAAGGAGAAGACCGUAGAGAAGAUUGGGAUUUGGAGAAUGGG
Molecule: long non-coding RNA, 825 nt
Organism: Daphnia pulicaria
Lineage: Eukaryota; Metazoa; Arthropoda; Branchiopoda; Diplostraca; Daphniidae
Exons: 4
Source: RefSeq, a predicted model, not a curated record